CCUACGGGAGGCAACAGUAGGGAAUCUUGCUCAAUGGGGGAAACCCUGAAGCAGCAACGCCGCGUGGAGGAUGAAGGUUUUCGGAUUGUAAACUCCUUUUGUUAGAGAAGAUAAUGACGGUAUCUAACGAAUAAGCACCGGCUAACUCCGUGCCAGCAGCCGCGGUAAUACGUAGGGUGCAAGCGUUACUCGGAAUCACUGGGCGUAAAGAGCGCGUAGGCGGGAUAGCAAGUCAGAUGUGAAAUCCUAUGGGUUAACCAUAGAACUGCAUUUGAAACUGUUAUUCUAGAGUAUGGGAGAGGUAGGUGGAAUUCUUGGUGUAGGGGUAAAAUCCGUAGAGAUCAAGAGGAAUACUCAUUGCGAAGGCGACCUGCUAGAACAUAACUGACGCUGAUGCGCGAAAGCGUGGGGAGCAAACAGGAUUAGAUACCCUUGUAGUC
RNAcentral lists this ribosomal RNA (440 nucleotides) under uncultured bacterium. Its description in RNAcentral is "partial 16S ribosomal RNA". It matches the Rfam family "Bacterial small subunit ribosomal RNA", at positions 338 to 795 of the family's 1533-position model. The record is from RNAcentral.